UGAGCAGAGGUUCUAGCGCAACCCUCUAUAAAAAACUAAGGAGAU
This 45-nucleotide non-coding RNA is filed under the name Wohlfahrtiimonas chitiniclastica. Its description in RNAcentral is "PreQ1-I sequence". It matches the Rfam family "PreQ1 (pre queuosine) riboswitch aptamer". Rfam says of the family: This family is a bacterial riboswitch that binds to the metabolite preQ1, an intermediate in the biosynthesis of the modified nucleoside queuosine from GTP. One example of this riboswitch is located in the leader of the Bacillus subtilis ykvJKLM (queCDEF) operon which encodes four genes necessary for queuosine production. RNAcentral also lists the same sequence under 1 other name. Lineage: Bacteria; Pseudomonadati; Pseudomonadota; Gammaproteobacteria; Cardiobacteriales; Ignatzschineriaceae. The record is from RNAcentral.